Ochotona curzoniae (black-lipped pika) is the source of this 134-nucleotide small nuclear RNA. RefSeq annotates it as U4 spliceosomal RNA. Lineage: Eukaryota; Metazoa; Chordata; Mammalia; Lagomorpha; Ochotonidae. The record is from RefSeq and is a predicted model, not a curated record. The transcript has a single exon.
AGCUUUGUGCAGUGGCAGUAUUGUAGCCAAUGAGGUUUAUCCGAGGUGCAAUUAUUGCUAAUUGAAAACCUAUUUGAUCACAUGAAUAAUAAAAUGAUUUGAGUUUCUGUCAAUAAUCCACCAAAGUAAUAUUA